RNAcentral lists this ribosomal RNA (403 nucleotides) under uncultured prokaryote. Its description in RNAcentral is "bacterial SSU rRNA". It matches the Rfam family "Bacterial small subunit ribosomal RNA", at positions 355 to 774 of the family's 1533-position model. The record is from RNAcentral.
UGGGGGAUAUUGCACAAUGGGGGAAACCCUGAUGCAGCAACGCCGCGUGAAGGAAGAAGGUCUUCGGAUUGUAAACUUUUGUCUUGCGGGACGAAUAAUGACGGUACCGCAGGAGGAAGCCACGGCUAACUACGUGCCAGCAGCCGCGGUAAUACGUAGGUGGCGAGCGUUGUCCGGAAUUACUGGGUGUAAAGGGUGCGUAGGCGGAUUUGCAAGUCAGACGUGAAAACUAUCGGCUUAACCGGUAGCCUGCGUUUGAAACUGUGAGUCUUGAGUGGUGAAGAGGUAAGCGGAAUUCCUAGUGUAGCGGUGAAAUGCGUAGAUAUUAGGAGGAACACCAGUGGCGAAGGCGGCUUACUGGGCACUAACUGACGCUGAGGCGCGAAAGCAUGGGGAGCAAACA